This 546-nucleotide small RNA is filed under the name Pan troglodytes (chimpanzee). RNAcentral describes it as "retained intron". The record is from RNAcentral. Lineage: Eukaryota; Metazoa; Chordata; Mammalia; Primates; Hominidae.
ACGUCGGCACCAGCUGCGGGGCAAGAUGGAGGCGCUGAUUUUGGAACCUUCCCUGUAUACUGUCAAAGCCAUCCUGAUUCUGGACAAUGAUGGAGAUCGACUUUUUGCCAAGUACUAUGACGACACCUACCCCAGUGUCAAGGAGCAAAAGGCCUUUGAGAAGAACAUUUUCAACAAGACCCAUCGGACUGACAGUGAAAUUGCCCUCUUGGAAGGCCUGACAGUGGUAUACAAAAGCAGUAUAGAUCUCUAUUUCUAUGUGAUUGGCAGCUCCUAUGAAAAUGAGCUGAUGCUUAUGGCUGUUCUGAACUGUCUCUUCGACUCAUUGAGCCAGAUGCUGAGGAAAAAUGUAGAAAAGCGAGCACUGCUGGAGAACAUGGAGGGGCUGUUCUUGGCUGUGGAUGAAAUUGUAGAUGGAGGGUAAGUUCUCUGACCUGCCUUGAUCUUGGGUGAGGUGGCGGGAUAACUGCCCCUGUCCUGUCAAGCAGGCUCAGUGGCCAGAGGUCCUGUUCCCCGACAGUGAGUUGGGCCUUCGGGACAGAGUGA